RNAcentral lists this transfer RNA (70 nucleotides) under Dipodomys ordii (Ord's kangaroo rat). It matches the Rfam family "tRNA". Rfam says of the family: Transfer RNA (tRNA) molecules are approximately 80 nucleotides in length. Their secondary structure includes four short double-helical elements and three loops (D, anti-codon, and T loops). The record is from Rfam by way of RNAcentral. Lineage: Eukaryota; Metazoa; Chordata; Mammalia; Rodentia; Heteromyidae.
GGGAAUGUGGCUGAGUGGUAGAGUGUUUGCCUCGCACGCAUGAAGUCCUGGGUUCAAUUCCUCAGUACCA